CCCAGACUCCUACGGGAGGCAGCAGUGAGGAAUAUUGGUCAAUGGCCGAGAGGCUGAACCAGCCAAGUCGCGUGAGGGAAGACGGCCCUACGGGUUGUAAACCUCUUUUGUCGGGGAGCAAAGCGAACCACGUGUGGUUCAUUGAGAGUACCCGAAGAAAAAGCAUCGGCUAACUCCGUGCCAGCAGCCGCGGUAAUACGGAGGAUGCGAGCGUUAUCCGGAUUUAUUGGGUUUAAAGGGUGCGCAGGCGGAGGUGCAAGUCAGCGGUCAAAUUGCGGGGCUCAACCCCGUACUGCCGUUGAAACUGCAUCCCUUGAGUGCGCGAGAAGUAUGCGGAAUGCGUGGUGUAGCGGUGAAAUGCAUAGAUAUCACGCAGAACUCCGAUUGCGAAGGCAGCAUACCGGCGCGCAACUGACGCUCAUGCACGAAAGCGGGGGUAUCGAACAGGAUUAGAUACCCGGUA
Molecule: ribosomal RNA, 463 nt
Filed under: uncultured bacterium
Lineage: Bacteria
Description: bacterial SSU rRNA
Rfam family: Bacterial small subunit ribosomal RNA
Source: RNAcentral